CUCAACUGGAGUAAUUCUAUAUCUUGGUUUUGAAACAGGGAGCGUCAGUCUACCUUUGGCCAUCUGGCUGUUUUAAGCUUUGCCCCCAUGCUGUAUGAUUUUAGCUUAAAAUCUCUUCCGUUGCAGCUCCGCUUUUAUUGAAUUCAUCAAAAGCAAACUUUCCCCGAGUUUUUUUUAAGAAGGGCUAAAAUAAUAAGUCGACCACUGUGACAUUCUCUGGGCUUAGGCCAUUUUUCAUAACGCAGCUGAUACGCUUUUGUGCAGCUAAGGCGACUACACAGAUGAAUAACGAGAAAAGUCUCUCGAAAACUAAAGCUUCCAGCUUUCCCCAUCUUUAAAAAGUUAACUGAAAUGAGAGGUACAUAUUAAAAACACCACACCAAGGAUCAGGCAUCACUUUUAUACCUCCGAAUGACAACGAUGCUUUUUAAACAACUUCUGCACACACACACACACACACCCCGCAUAUACACACACACGCACACAAACUUUACAGAUUGUGAAACUGCCCAGGUGGUGUUUAAAGAUCCAUAGUCAGUGAGUUGUAAAGAAAUAGGAGAAUUUUGAGGCAGAUUAUACUUUUAAAACGACAUGACAAUCUCCCGCCCUUUGUUUUUCUUUGUUUUUUGUUUUUUCUUUUCUUUUCCCCCCCCCCCCAUCUUUUACUGUAUCCACCGUGUUGAAUGUAGCGUCUUGAAGAAGCAAAUUUUCACAGCACUCAAGAUGAAUCGCACCAAAUGUAAUAUGUUGGCAGGCUGAGCAGAUUACAGUUUUGGAGUCAUCAGUAGGAGAGAACCCAGCAAACUGACAGACCUGAAAUCAUGUCCUUUGAUUGUAAUUGACAGGAAAAGCGUUUAAGCAAGUAUGGAAGGGUCGAGCGGUUUCAGAAACACUGGCGUGAGGGCAGGCUAUGGGGAAGCAAUGCAGAGGAUUUUGUUAUAUCUCUCUGAACUCUGGAAUCAAGCUCUAUAAGACCACGAGAGGGGAGGAUUUUGUGAAGUAGGAGAAGUGCCUCUGCUCACAAACAUAUGGAA
Molecule: non-coding RNA, 1034 nt
Organism: Pelodiscus sinensis (Chinese soft-shelled turtle)
Lineage: Eukaryota; Metazoa; Chordata; Testudines; Trionychidae
Source: RefSeq, a predicted model, not a curated record